CCAGUUAAAUGGGGCGCAGCCUGAUGCAGCGACGCCGCGUGAGGGAUGACGGCCUUCGGGUUGUAAACCUCUUUCAGCAGGGAAGAAGCGCAAGUGACGGUACCUGCAGAAGAAGCGCCGGCUAACUACGUGCCAGCAGCCGCGGUAAUAUA
Molecule: ribosomal RNA, 152 nt
Filed under: uncultured Streptomyces sp.
Lineage: Bacteria; Bacillati; Actinomycetota; Actinomycetes; Kitasatosporales; Streptomycetaceae
Description: partial 16S ribosomal RNA
Rfam family: Bacterial small subunit ribosomal RNA
Source: RNAcentral